This 468-nucleotide ribosomal RNA is filed under the name uncultured bacterium. RNAcentral describes it as "partial 16S ribosomal RNA". It matches the Rfam family "Bacterial small subunit ribosomal RNA", at positions 28 to 507 of the family's 1533-position model. The record is from RNAcentral.
GACGAACGCUGGCGGCGUGCUUAACACAUGCAAGUCGAACGGAAAGGCCCUGCUUUUGUGGGGUGCUCGAGUGGCGAACGGGUGAGUAACACGUGAGUAACCUGCCCUUGACUUUGGGAUAACUUCAGGAAACUGGGGCUAAUACCGGAUAGGAGCUCCUGCUGCAUGGUGGGGGUUGGAAAGAUUCGGCGGUGGGGGAUGGACUCGCGGCUUAUCAGCUUGUUGGUGGGGUAGUGGCUUACCAAGGCUUUGACGGGUAGCCGGCAUGGGAGGGUGACCGGCCACAUUGGGACUGAGGUACGGCCCAGACUCCUACGGGAGGCAGAAGUGGGGAAUAUUGCACAAUGGGCGGAAGCCUGAUGCAGCAACGCCGCGUGCGUGAUGCCGGCCUUCGGGUUGUAAACCGCUUUCGCCUGUGCCGAAGCGUGAGUGACGGUAAUGGGUAAAGAAGCACCGGCUAACUACGUG